AGAGUUUGAUCCUGGCUCAGAACGAACGCUGGCGGCGUGGAUAAGACAUGCAAGUCGAACGGGAGAAUUGCUAGCUUGCUAAUAAUUCUCUAGUGGCGCACGGGUGAGUAACACGUGAGUAACCUGCCUCUUAGUGGGGGAUAGCCCUGGGAAACCGGGAUUAAUACCGCAUACGAUUGAAAGAUCAAAGCAGCAAUGCGCUAGGAGAUGGGCUCGCGGCCUAUUAGUUAGUUGGUGAGGUAACGGCUCACCAAGGCGAUGACGGGUAGCCGGUCUGAGAGGAUGUCCGGCCACACUGGAACUGAGACACGGUCCAGACACCUACGGGUGGCAGCAGUCGAGAAUCAUUCACAAUGGGGGCAACCCUGAUGGUGCGACGCCGCGUGGGGGAAUGAAGGUCUUCGGAUUGUAAACCCCUGUCAUGUGGGAGCAAAUUAAAAAGAUAGUACCACAAGAGGAAGAGACGGCUAACUCUGUGCCAGCAGCCGCGGUAAUACAGAGGUCUCAAGCGUUGUUCGGAAUCACUGGGCGUAAAGCGUGCGUAGGCUGUUUCGUAAGUCGUGUGUGAAAGGCAGGGGCUCAACCCCUGGAUUGCACAUGAUACUGCGAGACUAGAGUAAUGGAGGGGGAACCGGAAUUCUCGGUGUAGCAGUGAAAUGCGUAGAUAUCGAGAGGAACACUCGUGGCGAAGGCGGGUUCCUGGACAUUAACUGACGCUGAGGCACGAAGGCCAGGGGAGCGAAAGGGAUUAGAUACCCCUGUAGUCCUGGCAGUAAACGGUGCACGCUUGGUGUGCGGGGAAUCGACCCCCUGCGUGCCGGAGCUAACGCGUUAAGCGUGCCGCCUGGGGAGUACGGUCGCAAGAUUAAAACUCAAAGAAAUUGACGGGGACCCGCACAAGCGGUGGAGUAUGUGGCUUAAUUCGAUGCAACGCGAAGAACCUUACCUGGGCUUGACAUGUAAUGAACAACAUGUGAAAGCAUGCGACUCUUCGGAGGCGUUACACAGGUGCUGCAUGGCCGUCGUCAGCUCGUGUCGUGAGAUGUUUGGUUAAGUCCAGCAACGAGCGCAACCCCUGUUGCCAGUUACCAGCACGUCAAGGUGGGGACUCUGGCGAGACUGCCCAGAUCAACUGGGAGGAAGGUGGGGACGACGUCAGGUCAGUAUGGCCCUUAUGCCCAGGGCUGCACACGUACUACAAUGCCCAGUACAGAGGGGGCCGAAGCCGCGAGGCGGAGGAAAUCCUGAAAACUGGGCCCAGUUCGGACUGUAGGCUGCAACCCGCCUACACGAAGCCGGAAUCGCUAGUAAUGGCGCAUCAGCUACGGCGCCGUGAAUACGUUCCCGGGUCUUGUACACACCGCCCGUCA
This 1370-nucleotide ribosomal RNA is filed under the name uncultured bacterium. RNAcentral describes it as "bacterial SSU rRNA". It matches the Rfam family "Bacterial small subunit ribosomal RNA". The record is from RNAcentral.